Molecule: transfer RNA, 68 nt
Filed under: Enemella dayhoffiae
Lineage: Bacteria; Bacillati; Actinomycetota; Actinomycetes; Propionibacteriales; Propionibacteriaceae
Description: Propionibacteriaceae bacterium NML 130396 tRNA-Ala
Source: RNAcentral
GGGGCUAUGGCGCAAUUGGUAGCGCACCUGCUUUGCAGGCAGGGGUUAGGAGCAUUUCCCAAGACCCU